This 553-nucleotide ribosomal RNA is filed under the name Fusiformiascus japonica. RNAcentral's name for it is "Diatrypella japonica partial large subunit ribosomal RNA". It matches the Rfam family "Eukaryotic large subunit ribosomal RNA", at positions 76 to 650 of the family's 3401-position model. Lineage: Eukaryota; Fungi; Ascomycota; Sordariomycetes; Xylariales; Diatrypaceae. The record is from RNAcentral.
UGCCCUAGUAACGGCGAGUGAAGCGGCAACAGCUCAAAUUUGAAAUCUGGCCUUCGGGUCCGAGUUGUAAUUUGUAGAGGAUGCUUUUGGUGCAGUGCCUUCCGAGUUCCUUGGAACAGGACGCCUUAGAGGGUGAGAGCCCCGUACGGUUGGACACUAAGCCUCUGUAAAGCUCCUUCGACGAGUCGAGUAGUUUGGGAAUGCUGCUCUAAAUGGGAGGUAAAUUUCUUCUAAAGCUAAAUACCGGCCAGAGACCGAUAGCGCACAAGUAGAGUGAUCGAAAGAUGAAAAGUACUUUGAAAAGAGGGUUAAAUAGCACGUGAAAUUGUUGAAAGGGAAGCGUUUAUGACCAGACCUUUGCCUGGCGGAUCAUCCGGUGUUCUUCACCGGUGCACUUCGCCUGGCUUAGGCCAGCAUCGAUUUCUGUAGGGGGAUAAAGGCCAUGGGAACGUAGCUCUCUUCGGGGAGUGUUAUAGCCCUAGGUGUAAUACCUUUACGGGGAUCGAGGUUCGCGCUUCUGCAAGGAUGCUGGCGUAAUGGUCAUCAACGACCC